GCUUCCGGUUUUUUCCUCAGGCUUCCGGUCUGUUUGGUGCCCUGGUCGCGUGUCUUCCGAACUCUGCUGCUUCGCCCCGGCAAGAGCACUUCCUUCCGCGGCUGCUAAAACUGGUGCGCGGGUUCCCAACUUCGCAGAAGAGCUUCAUCGGCCCCCCGCUAGAGACCUCAGACCGCAGCCAUCGACGCCUCGCCUCGGGGAUCUGUCCCCACCCUCGGGGCCAGCUCACCAUGAGUCAGGCCCUGUGCUAGGUGCUGGGAUGAAGCAGUGACUGACACAGGCCUGGACCUGUCCUUGGGAAGAGUGCGUCUGUGACACAGAUACUGUGCCAUGUGGCAAAGUAAGCGCGUGGGACAGCAGAGCCUUGUUUGCCAUUAAAGUAAUAUCACAAGUCUGUUAAGGUUGGAGAAUCAAGUGAACAUGCUGAAAAGUUAUGGGGAAUGUAGUCUCAUAGCUGGGGGAGCUGGGGGCCUUGUCAAUUGGUUCCCCCAGUCUGGAGAGCAAUCUGAGAGUAAGUAGUGACACUGUGUGUGCUGAGUGUGUCUGUGGGGGUGUUUUUGGAUAAAAUUAACAUUUGAAUUUGUGAACUGAGUGAAGCAGAGUGCCCUUCAUAAUGUGGGUGGGCCUCAUUCAAUUAGUUCAAGGCCCGCAUAGGAACCACCUCCUGCCUGACUGAACCGGGACCUACGUCUUUUCUUGCCUUCAGACUUGAAUGGAGACAUCAGCUCUUUGUGGGUCUCAAGUCUACUGGCUUUCAAUCAGCUCUUCUGCUUGACAGCUGCAGGUCUUGGGACUGCCCAGCCCCCAUAACCCUGUGAGUGCAUUCCUGAUAAUAACCCUCUUUCUCUUGUCCUCCCCCACCCCACAUCAUUGGUUCUGUUUCUCUGGAGAACCAUAAUACAUCAUUUACUAAUCAGGAAAUAGAUUCAGAGACAUUAAUAACUCAUCCAACCUCACAGUUAACUGUAGAGUUGGGCUUGAAAUUCCAAGGUCGAUUUUCUUAGCCAAUACACCAUGCUACAUAUAUGUAUGUAAAAAUAAAAACGCUUGUGAACUGAAAA
Long non-coding RNA from Homo sapiens (human), 1061 nucleotides. Ensembl annotates it as MYC-induced long non-coding RNA. Its record names the gene MINCR. Lineage: Eukaryota; Metazoa; Chordata; Mammalia; Primates; Hominidae. The record is from Ensembl.